This 216-nucleotide ribosomal RNA is filed under the name Caulobacterales bacterium. RNAcentral describes it as "partial 23S ribosomal RNA". It matches the Rfam family "Bacterial large subunit ribosomal RNA", at positions 2708 to 2925 of the family's 2925-position model. The record is from RNAcentral. Lineage: Bacteria; Pseudomonadati; Pseudomonadota; Alphaproteobacteria; Caulobacterales.
UCUGGUGGACCUGUUGUGGCGCCAGCCGCAUUGCAGGGUAGCUAUGUGUGGAAGGGAUAACUGCUGAAUGCAUCUAAGCAGGAAGCCCACCUCAAGACCAGGUUUCCCUUGAGAGCCGUGGAAGACCACCACGUCGAUAGGCCAGGUGUGGAAGCGUAGUGAUACGUGAAGCUGACUGGUACUAAUUGCUCGAUAGGCUUGAUUUCCCGAUGCUCA